UCUUUCAGUUGGACUUUGUGUUCUUUCAGUUGGACUUUGUUUUCUUUCAGUUGGACUUUGUUUUCUUUCAGUUGGACUAACUGAAACAAAAUGAAGACUACCUGAAAAAGAAUAAAGACCAACUGAAACCCAAGUAAGUCUAACUGAAGCACAAAAACCAACUGAACAAAAAGAAGACUAACUGAAAAAAAAAGACUAACUGAAACAAAAUGAAGACUACCUGAAGAAAAAUAUAGACUACCUGAAAAAGAAUAAAGACCAACUGAAACCCAAGUAAGUCUAACUGAAGCACAAAAACCCACUGAAAAACAAAGAAGACUAACUGAAAACAAAAUGAAGACUACCUGAAGAAAAAUGUAGACUACCUGAAAAAGAAUAAAGACCAACUGAAACCCAAGUAAGUCUAACUGAAGCACAAAAACCCACUGAAAAACAAAGAAGACUAACUGAAAACAAAACGAAGACUACCUGAAAAAAAAUUGGAACCACCUGAAAAAAAAAUGAAGACUACCUGAAAAAUAAUUGGAACCACCUGAAAGUCGUCCGACCAAGAUUAUGGUCGGACGAGUCCGACACAAUACGUUCUCUUAAUUUAUUUAGCUAUUUCAUAAGUACGAUAAGAUUCCUUAAUCACUAAUGUGGUCCUUUACUCGUUGUCUCGUUACACAUUGAUAUAUCUACAUCAAGGGCCAGGUUAUAUGCUUGUAUCCACUGGCGGCUAAAGCCAUGUAGAAGGUGAACAACUGCACAAACUCCUAAAAUAUAUAAUUAAAUUCUAUUAGUUAUUCGUCCAAAGUAAAAAAAUAAAAAUAAUCAAAUCUACUUAUAGGUUGUUUGUUUUCAAUUUACCGAGUGUAAUGUUGAAUGCAAAUUCAAACAUGUUACUUUAUAUCUGGUGUUUUACUUUGUUUCCUCCUAUUUUCCGAAAGAAAGUCUCCCACUAUGACUCUUCCGUCUCUUCUAUUUACCAAAAAUGUCCAAUCUUUAUGAUUUAAUUUAGGACAAGACCCUUAACUUGUACGAGACGGCCCUACUUGUAUCUCUAUUAGGCCUGGCAAAAGCUGAUCCAACCCCACAACCCGACAAUCCAACUUGAAAUUAGUAGGUUUGGGUUGAGUUUUUCAACCCAUUAGUUAAAUGGGUCGAUUUGAACCCGACCUGAAAGAUAAAUGGGUCAUGUUGAAGUCGAAAUUUCGGACCUGAAAAUGACCCGCCUAACCUGAUUUUUAAAUGGGUCACAAUCAGGUCAGGUCAACCCAUGUAACACAACCCGAAUAAUUACGGUUUAAAAAAAUUGUUGGUUUGCCCAGCUCAAAAACAAAUUCUUAAGUUUAACCUAAGUCUCGUAACCCUAGAAUUCUAACACAGUCAUUACACUCACCCCUCUUUCUCUCACACAGUCUCUCUCACUCUUACAUUCUCAGUCUCUCUUCUUCGCUGCUCAUGCUCACUCGCAAAUCUUCGCUACUCGUGCUCACUCGCAAAUCUUCGGUGCUUAGUGCUCACUCGCGAAUCUUCUUCGAUGCUCUUCAUAUAAACAUCACCAUCAACUAUUUUCUUCAAUUCGUAUUUUUUCCUAUUUUCUUAGCUGUUUAUUUCUUCAGUUCGUAUUUUUCUUUGCUUGAUUUUUUUUUUCAUAUUUUCUUAUUUAUUUGCUUUUUCUUCACUCUCCUUCAGAAUUUUUGCUGCUCUUCUUCAACAUCAGGUAUUCUUCUUUUGUCAAUUUUUUUUUCUUAUUUUGUCCUUUAUUUUCUUAUUUUCUCAUUUAUUUUCUUUCAUUUUUUUCCUGCUAUUUUUCAGUAUUUUAUGUGAUUUUUGUAUUUUGUCAUUUCUUUUUUUUGCUCUUUUCGGGGUUUUUUUCUGUUUUCCUAUGUGUUUAAUGUUUUGUACUUUUUUUUCUAUAUUUUCAUUUUUUAUUUUAUGCCUUAUUCUGUAUAUUUUCUCAAAAUAUAAUUUAUAUUUUUAAUUUGUUCAUGAAUUAUUUUCUAUAAAUUUUCUCUAUUUUUCUGUUUUUGUAUUUUUUCUUCUAGUUUAUUUAUUUGUUUAGAUUCUGUGUUUUUCAGUUAAUAUGACUGAUGACAACUUCAAGGAGCAAAUUGAGCUCUUAUCAGAGGCAGAGGAGAAGGUUGACUCCACUCCGACAAAUACUGUUAAACCAAAAAAGGAAAAAUCUGAUAAGUUGGGGAUAGUUUUGAGUAUCAGUUAGAAUUUUCCAAGGUAAAAGAUAAGUUGAAAGACUUGUAUGAAGUUUAUGCCGCCUCUUAUGCAUCAUCGAGCAAAAAUGUGGCUGCUCAUGGACAAGGUGGGUGUGUUAGAGUUUCUUCAAGUGAUGAUUUGAUGACGGAUUUUGAUUGUUUCUCUGCCGAACAAUCAACUGUGGCUGCCAAAACUGACAUGGAGUUGUAUUUUGAGGAGCACCUUAUCCCUCGCACUACCAACAUCGACAUUCUAUCAUAUUGGAAAGGGAAUAUGGUCCAUUAUCCAAUAUUAGCUCAACUUGCAAAGGAUAUACUUCUUGUCCCCAUCUCUACAAUGGCCUCCGAAUAAGCUUUUAGUACCGGAGGUCGGGUAUAGAUUGCUUUAGAAGCUCCUUGAAGCCUUCCACUGUUGUGGGUAUCAUAAGCCUAAGGGAUUGGUCAUUUGGUGAAUCAAAAAUGGAUCCACGCACAACUUGAGGCGUUAUGCGGAGCCGUCAUGAACCUCAAGGUCGAAUAGGAAGUGGAUGACGUGCCUCAACAAUCGCCUUCCCCAAGUAUGCCAAGUGUUGACCUUGAGAGUCCUCGUCAAUCAACCUCGACAAUGUUUGUUAGAUCUAUGGUUGUCUAAUACAUUAAGGAUACAUUACUCUUGUUUUAUUUUAUUAAAUUUGUGGCUGAUUUGGAUUGUAAUGUUUUAUGACCGCUAGUCCUCCAUACUAUGUGUUGAUAUUGCCAAGUGUUGGAGUACAAUGUGACACUCAAGA
Molecule: long non-coding RNA, 2962 nt
Organism: Beta vulgaris subsp. vulgaris (sugar beet)
Lineage: Eukaryota; Viridiplantae; Streptophyta; Magnoliopsida; Caryophyllales; Amaranthaceae
Exons: 3
Source: RefSeq, a predicted model, not a curated record